CUGACACCAGAGAAAACCUAUAGUUUGCUCGCAACGCAAAGCCCGCAUUUUUGCGAAUCUCUCUUUGUGGUUGCGAUGUUGUGUUUGCAUAUUUUUGGCUAAUGCCAGAACCCGGUAGUGAUUGCUACCCUAAUACUUGCUGUAUUUUGAAUCCGAUCUAUCAAAUGAUUUGUCGUAGCACUGAGUGAAAACUCGGUGCUUUUUUUU
Non-coding RNA from Enterovibrio coralii, 207 nucleotides. The record is from Rfam. Lineage: Bacteria; Pseudomonadati; Pseudomonadota; Gammaproteobacteria; Vibrionales; Vibrionaceae.